ACUUAUAUAAUAUAAAUAAUAUAUUUAAAAUAAGAUAAUGAUGAAUAAUUCAAUAGUAAAACUUUUUAAAUUUACUGUUAGUAUUUUAUAUGUCAUGUAGGCACAUAUGACAUGUAGUGUGUAAGUCAAGACAGAUUUAUGGACUUGACUCUAUUCUUCACCAUGUGAUCCAGAUAUCAAAUUCAAGUCAUCAGGUUUGUGUGACAAGUGCAAUGCUAGAGGUCCUUAGAGGGUUGGGUUUUGUUUGUUUAUUGUAUAGGAUGUAGGUGGGUGUGGUGUAUGUGUGUAGUGGCAGUCAGAGGACAACUCUGGAGUCAGUUCUCUCCUUCUGACCUCUGCAGACCCUGGACUUUUUCAGCAAGUAUUUUUACCCAGUGAGCCAUCCUAGCCCAGACUUAAAGUUUUUGUCUGCAAAUAACUUUAUAAACAAACUAAAUCAUAACAUGAUAGGUCAUUGGUUCUGUGGUUUUGUUCAUUUUUAAUUUUUUAUUUUAUUUCAAAGAGAGGAAUGAGUUAAGUGCCUUUCUGGGAAAUAUUUUCUUAGACUAGAAUUAGAACUGGUAUCUUGGAGAGCUGACCUAGAGAUUGUAGCAAAUGGAGAACAGAAGUGAAAUAUUAGAGAGAGAAGAAGGUAUUGAAAUGAAAUAAAACUUUGUAGUUGGACAUGGUGACACACACACCUGUAAAACCGAGCAUUUAGAGGUUGAGGCAGGACUAAGACUUUCAGGCCAGGUUGGUAAGAAUUCACAAAUGACAUCUGAGUACUUGUAUGUAUGGUACUAUUGUCUUGACAGAUUGUGGGACAGAACACCCUAGAUCUUUGUGAAGCUUCUAUUUUUGUUGUUCUAGAGAGAGAGAAAGCAGUCAGUAAUUUCAAGUGCUUAAAAAGUACUGUUAUUUAUGGGUCUGGAGAAAUGGCUCAGUGGUUAAGAGCACCAACUGCUCUUCCAGAGGUUCUGAGUUAAAUUCCCAGUAACCACAUGGUGGCUCACAGCCAUAUGUAAUAGGAUCUGACGCCCUCUUCUGGUGUGUCUGAAGACACUACAGUGUACUCAUGUAAGUAAAAUAAAUGUGACUGGGUUAAAGAGAGUACUGCUUUAAAAGUAUAGACGGGAGUGGAAGGGAAGACUACAAAGGUGGCAUUUGUUUGAGACCUGGGUAUAGGUUAGGAACUUGCCAUCUGAGAAGAUGAAAA
Long non-coding RNA from Mus musculus (house mouse), 1195 nucleotides. RefSeq annotates it as predicted gene, 51546. Lineage: Eukaryota; Metazoa; Chordata; Mammalia; Rodentia; Muridae. The record is from RefSeq and is a predicted model, not a curated record. The transcript has 2 exons.